AGAGUUUGAUCAUGGCUCAGGACGAACGCUGGCGGCGUGCUUAACACAUGCAAGUCGAACGGUGAAGCCCUUCGGGGUGGAUCAGUGGCGAACGGGUGAGUAACACGUGGGCAAUCUGCCUGCACUCUGGGACAAGCCCUGGAAACGGGGUCUAAUACCGGAUAUGACCUUCUUCCGCAUGGUUGAAGGUGGAAAGCUCC
Molecule: ribosomal RNA, 200 nt
Filed under: uncultured bacterium
Lineage: Bacteria
Description: partial 16S ribosomal RNA
Rfam family: Bacterial small subunit ribosomal RNA
Source: RNAcentral